CUAGAUGAUGGAGAUAUAUUUAUGGUGGUUCACUUUCUUCCCAUUGAUGUUAAGGACGAUGCUGAACUUAUGGACCCAAACGAUGGAAACUAAAUCCUCUUCUUAUUGCUCUGUGCUACUGAAGUGUUAGGAUUAUGACCCAGACCAUGGAACACCCCUCUUCUUACUCUGUGCUACUGAAGUGGAACUCGACAAGGCACCAGAAAGAAUUCAACGCAGAACCUAUAAACAAAAAGUUACUUGUCAUUGCCUCAUCACAACAAUUCCCUUCCACAGGUGUGUGUGACCGUGUUCCAACCAGGAUGAUGAUUUUGUUUUUUAACAACAAGGUGCUACUGAAGUGUUAGGGAUUAUCACCAUGGAAUACCCCUCUUAUUGCUCUGUGCUACUGAAGCUGAUCUCGACAAGGCACGAGAAUCCAACGUAUAAACUUUGAACAAAAAGGGAAAUGAUGAUAGUUAAUAACGUAGCUACAGUUUGAUGUAUGUCCAAUUCUGAUUCAGCAAAUUUAAAGUCAAAACAAGCCAGAGGUGGUGAAACGAAACAGGUGUGUGUGUUCCAACCACGAGGAUGUUGACUCAAAAAAUUUCAAGGACAGUACCAAGUAUAUUCAGACCAAAAACGGUUGUCGGAGGGCGUUCUUAAAAUGAUGGAGAUACAUUUAUGGUGGUUCACUUCCUCCCCAUUAAUGUUAACGUUGAUGCUGAAUUAUUGACCCAAACGAUGGCAAAGAAGUCCCUUUUCUUAUUGCUCAGUGCUACUGAAGUGUUAUGGAUUAUGACCCAGACCAUGGAACACCCCUCUUAUUGCUCUUUGGAACUCGACAAGGCACCAGAAUUCAAAGCAGCACCCUUCGAACAAAACGGUACUUGUCAUUGCCUCAUGCCAAAAAUUCCCUUCGUCAGGUGUGUGUGUUCGUGUUCCAACCAGGAUGAUGAUUUUGUUUGUGAACAACAAGGUGCUACUGAAGUGUUAAGGAUUAUGACCAUGGAACACCCCUCUUCUUGCUCUGUGGAACUCUUCAAGGCACCAGAAUUCAAAGCACUACCCUUCCCACAGGUUCUAAUGAAGUGUUAGGACUUAGGAUUAUGACCCAGACCAUGGAACACCCCUCUUCUUGCUCUGUGCUACUGAAGUGGAACUCGACAAGGCACCAGAAAUAAUUCAACGCAGAACCUAUAAACAAAAAGGUACUUGUGAUGCCUCAUGCCAACAAUUCCCUUCCACAGCCAGAUUUUUUUGGAGGAUGAAGUAGAUUCAGAGCAAAAACGGUUGCCGGAGGGCGUUCUUAAAGUAACAACUUCCAACUGAUUUUUAAAGUAUCCAACUUCUCUAGAUGACACAGAUAUAUGGAGGUUCACUUUCUUCCCAUUGAUGUUACGGAUGAUGGUGACUUAUGGACCCAAACGAUGGAAAAUAAAUCCUCUUCUCAUUGCUCUGUGCUACUGAAGUGUUAGGGAUUAUGACCAAGACCAUGGAAUACCCCUCUUCUUGCCCUGUGCUACUGAAGUGGAACUCGACAAGGCACCAGAAUUGUCUCAAGCCAAAGGCCGCAGUAAUCAUAAAAAUGUAUAAAGGGAAACGAGUGUUAAAUACUUAGCUAGCACUAGCAAUAUGAUUCAUCAAAAUCAAAGCCAUCACAAGGAAAAAGCUAAAUAAUGGAAAACUAAGACAUGUGAGCCAAUUAUUGUUUCAAAAUCAGCAAGGACUUCACCCCAUAGCACCAGCUUUUGCCUGCACCACAAAGAAGUUUCCCACAUCUGCCAUAAUUCAAGAUCUCAUUUUCUUAUUGUUGCAGGGGCUUCAUCUUCAAACAAUUGCAUUGACUAAUCAUAAUGCAGACACAUCUUCAAUAUGAGCUUCAACGGAAGUUUCUCAAGUAGAGAAUCAAAAUGUAGAACUCUGGGAUUACUUUAAGGAUUAUGAAAGUUUAGACUACCUGGUAUUUGUACUUUAGAGGGACAAUGAGUGUUAUUUACAUGCUACAGUUUAAUGUGUGUCCCAGUCCGAUGGCGACGAGAGAAACAAGAGAGACAGAGAGAGAUGGAGAGAGCAAACAGACCUGAAGGUGCUACUGAAGUUGGAACUCGACAAUGUGGAUUAUUGUCAUCCGGUUCAGAAGACCGGUUCAGGUUACGAACUGGGCUGUCGCUGUUACAUGACCGAGGUUGGGCCGUGAAGGACUUUCGGAUGUGGACCAGAACCAAGUCGGUUGGUUUGUGUUUCUUUACAAGGAAGAAAGGCAAGUUUCCAAAAGGAGAAGGAGUUGCAAACCCUAAACCUAAUUGGAAUAAGGCGGCUUCAAGGUUAUAUAUAAAGAGAAGCAAGAGUUCACAAGGAAGAGAGAGAGAAGAAUCACCAACAUAGAAGCAAGGGAGAGACAAGUUAGAGAGAGAGUUUUCGGGUUUAGAGAGCCUCUUGGUAAUCUAUUGUCUGUAAGGGCUUCGAGUAGAUAGGUUUUUUAUUCUUUUUGUUUUUGUUCUCUGGGUUGUUCUUACACUAGAAGCAUAGGUGAAUAAGCUUCAGGGUCGUGUUUCUGUCGAGUACCUAUAAGAGAGAAACAGAGAGUGUUAGAUUGAGAGACAAGAGAGAUUUGUACUAAAACUUAUACUUGGAUUUCUUUAGUGGAUAUUUGCAAGGGUCGGUCCUUGCAAGAGACGUACUCUCUGGUUUGGAGGAGAACUCGUUAAAUUUUGGUGUU
Molecule: non-coding RNA, 2701 nt
Organism: Camelina sativa (false flax)
Lineage: Eukaryota; Viridiplantae; Streptophyta; Magnoliopsida; Brassicales; Brassicaceae
Source: RefSeq, a predicted model, not a curated record